CAUUAGAAUGUUCAUUGCUGAUGUCAAUGUUAACAAUGACAUCAGCAGUGAUGACAUCACUCUUUGAUGCAUAAAAUGUAGCACACAGACUGUUUUUUCAAACCUCUUCCUGUUUCAGACUUAGAAGUUAUAAGUUAUGAAUUGUUAAAAUGAUUUGAAGACACAGAAUCAACCCAGUUCAGAUUCACAUUCUCAGGUUAGAGAGACUCGCCUGACUACCCUAACCACCAUCAUCAAAGUAACAUUGGUUUCCCUCAAUGUCACUCUGUGGAUGGCUUUGGCUGCUCAACAAUAAUACUAAGUUGGGUGAAUCACAGCAAACGUAAGUCAUCAUACAGUAACUGUAUAUACAGUUCAGAUGCAGCUUAUGGAAAUCCUCAGUGAAGAGGUUUCAGACAGAUGCUUACCCAUCCCAAAACUAACCUUUUCCUGAACCUCCUGUUUCUCCUUGAGGGCCUCCUCCAGCUGAGACUGCAAGUCAUUCAUUUGAGCCAAGUUCUGAGCCAACUGAAACACAACGCAGAGGACAGAUCACAACAGUCAGCAAAUGAAGUUCUUUCUGCCUAGAAGUCAUUAUCCGACUACUUCUCCUGACAAGGAGCACCUGGGACACAGCAGCCUUGUGUUUCUUCAUCAGCUCG
Poeciliopsis prolifica (blackstripe livebearer) is the source of this 641-nucleotide long non-coding RNA. RefSeq lists it as uncharacterized. Lineage: Eukaryota; Metazoa; Chordata; Actinopteri; Cyprinodontiformes; Poeciliidae. The transcript is spliced from 3 exons. The record is from RefSeq and is a predicted model, not a curated record.